CCCUUAGAUGUUCUGGGCUGCACACGUGCUACACUGGCAGGUUCAGCGAGCUUCAUGCCCUGAUCUGAAAGGAAUGGGAAAUCUUUUCAAAACCUGCCGUGCUUGGGAUAGAUGUUUGCAAUUAUUCAUCUUCAACGAGGAUUGCCUUGUAAGCGCACGUCAUCAGCGUGCAUUGAAUACGACCCUGUAUUCUGUACACACCGCCCGUCGCUUCUACCGAUUGAAGUUUUCGGUGAGUUGACAGGAGGAUUUUUUUGAAACUGGUUCGCCAGUGGAUUUUAGAUCCAAAUGCCGACGAAUCGAUGGCUUUAGAGGAAGGAGAAGUCGUAACA
RNAcentral lists this ribosomal RNA (332 nucleotides) under uncultured eukaryote. Its description in RNAcentral is "partial 18S ribosomal RNA". It matches the Rfam family "Eukaryotic small subunit ribosomal RNA", at positions 1470 to 1796 of the family's 1831-position model. The record is from RNAcentral.